This is a long non-coding RNA of Nerophis ophidion (straightnose pipefish), 1625 nucleotides long. RefSeq lists it as uncharacterized. Lineage: Eukaryota; Metazoa; Chordata; Actinopteri; Syngnathiformes; Syngnathidae. The record is from RefSeq and is a predicted model, not a curated record. The transcript has 4 exons.
UGUGCCGCGCCACACUAGUGUGCCGUGAGAUUCAGUCUGGUGUGCCGUGGGAGAUUAUGUAGUUUCACCUAUUUGGGUUAAAAAUAUUUUUUGCAUCCAUCCAUCCAUUUUCUACCGCUUAUUCCCUUUCGGGGUCACGGGGGGCGCUGGCGGCUAUCUCAGCUACAAUCGGGCGGAAGGCAGGGUACACCCUGGACAAGUCGCCGCCUCAUCGCAGGGCCAACACAGGUGCAUGUCUUUUGGAAGUGGGAGGAAGCCGGAGUACCCGGAGGGAACCCACGCAUUCACGGGGAGAACAUGCAAACUCCACACAGAAAGAUCCCGAGCCUGGAUUUGAACCCAGGACUGCUGGAACUUCGUAUUGUGAGGCAGACGCACUAACCCCUCUUCCACCGUGAAGCCCUUUACUGUAAACCAGUAAUUAUAAUCCGCAAAUAAUGUGUUGUUGUUGAGUGUUGGUGCUGUCUAGAGCUCGGCAGAGUAACCAUGUAAUACUCUCCCAUAUCAGUAGGUGAAAGCUGGUAGCUAUUUGCUUUGUAGAUGUCAGGAACAUGUCGGGUGAGACGACGAUGGUUUGUCGUGAUCACAAUAUGCAGACAACAGCGGAAGGCAGUGUGCAGGUUUGUCUCCCGGGGAGCUUCACCCAGCUCUUGCCUGCAGUCGUCCUCGGUUAAGGAGGAUGUUUGCCAACGCAAGCCUUUGUUUGACAAUCCUUUCUGGGUGGCGGGGGGCGCUGGAGCCUAUCUUCGCUGCAUUCGGGCGGUAGGCAGAGUACACCCUGGACAAAUCACCACCUCAUCACAGAGCCAACACAGACAGACAACAUUCACACUCACAUUCACACACCAGGGCCAAAUUUAGUGUUGCCAAUCAACCUAUCCCCAGGUGCAUGUCUUUGGAGGUGGGAGAAAGCCGGACCCCCCGGAGGGAGCCAACGCAGUCACAUGCAAAAACCCCUAGCCCAUGGAUCGAACCCAGGACCUUCGUAAUUUUUAAGUAAAGAAUUGAAUUCUUUGUCUCUGCAUCAGCUGGCAGGGGCAACCGUGUCACAAAGCUCAUUUUUCAUAGAUGAAACUACCCAUAGGGCUUCACGGUGGCAGAGGGGUUAGUGCGUCUGCCUCACAAUACGAAGUUCCUGCAGUCCUGGGUUCAAAUCCAGGCUCGGGAUCUUUCUGUGUGGAGUUUGCAUGUUCUCCCCGUGAAUGCGUGGGUUCCCUCCGGGUACUCCGGCUUCCUCCCACUUCCAAAGACAUGCACCUGGGGAUAGGUUGAUUGGCAACACUAAAUUGGCCCUAGUGUGUGAACGUGAGUGUGAAUGUUGUCUGUCUAUCUGUGUUGGCCCUGCGAUGAAGUGGCGACUUGUCCAGGGUAUACCCUGCCUUCCGCCCGAUUGUAGCUGAGAUAGGUGCCAGCGCCCCCCGCGACCCCGAAAGGGAAUAAGCGGUAGAAAAUGGAUGGAUGGAUGGAAACUAUCCAUGAACUGCAAUCCAGCCAAGAAUUGUUACAUGCCCACAGAUGACAUUCUUCUGCUGAGAUCCUCCUCCUGAUUACAUCAAUGACCAGAGGUUUAAAACACAAUCAAUAGACUGAAAGUGAUCGUACCGUUUGUUGCAACUUGAUCCAUU